This 275-nucleotide ribosomal RNA is filed under the name uncultured bacterium. Its description in RNAcentral is "partial 16S ribosomal RNA". It matches the Rfam family "Bacterial small subunit ribosomal RNA", at positions 399 to 691 of the family's 1533-position model. The record is from RNAcentral.
GCGUGGAUGAAGAAGGCCCUAGGGUUGUAAAGUCCUUUCACCGCUGAAGAUAAUGACGGUAAGCGGAGAAGAAGCCCCGGCUAAUUUCGUGCCAGCAGCCGCGGUAAUACGAAAGGGGCUAGCGUUGUUCGGAAUUACUGGGCGUAAAGCGCACGUAGGCGGCAUAGCAAGUUGGGGGUGAAAUCCCCGGGCUCAACCCGGGAACUGCCUUCAAAACUGCUAAGCUAGAGGAUGCGAGAGGAUAGUGGAAUUCCGAGUGUAGAGGUGAAAUUCGU